AUUACGUCCCUGCCCUUUGUACAUACCGCCCGUCGCUACUACCGAUUGAAUGGCUUAGUGAGGCCUCCGGAUUGGGUCUGGGGAACCGGCAACGGUACUCUGGAUCUCGAGAAGCUGGUCAAACUUGGUCAUUUAGAGGAAGUAAAAGUCGUAACAAGGUUUCCGUAGGUGAACCUGCGGAAGGAUCAUUAAUGAAAUCAUAUUCUCCUUUGGAGUUUCUUCUAGCUGAUGCGUCUUUUGGCUGCACGCUGUUGUCACUCUUUAGGGGUUAUAUUUCCACAAACCCUUCUGUGCAUAUUGGGAAGGCUUUAUUGUCCUCUCCUAAUUCAUAUACUCUAAUGUUUAAUCAUGUCAUACAAUGUUAAAUACAUUAAACAACUUUCAACAACGGAUCUCUUGGCUCUCGCAUCGAUGAAGAACGCAGCGAAAUGCGAUAAGUAAUGUGAAUUGCAGAAUUCAGUGAAUCAUCGAAUCUUUGAACGCACCUUGCGCUCCUUGGUAUUCCGAGGAGCAUGCCUGUUUGAGUGUCAUGUUAAUUCUCAAACCUUUGUGUUUGGUUUUGGAGGCCCUGCUUGUCUUAAAGCUCCUCUCAAAUGCAUUGGCUAACUUGGGCUGGAUUAUCUCAGUGUUGUAAUCUACUGCGCUGAAAAAAACUAGCUUCGAGUGGCUGAUUUAACAUUUUCUUGUAAUCUGACCUCAAAUCAGGUAGGACUACCCCGCUGAACUUAAGCAUAUCAAUAAGCGGAGGAAAAAGAAACUAACAAGGAUUUCC
Molecule: ribosomal RNA, 772 nt
Filed under: uncultured fungus
Lineage: Eukaryota; Fungi
Description: eukaryotic LSU rRNA
Rfam family: Eukaryotic small subunit ribosomal RNA (bases 1-191)
Source: RNAcentral